Molecule: ribosomal RNA, 494 nt
Filed under: uncultured bacterium
Lineage: Bacteria
Description: bacterial SSU rRNA
Rfam family: Bacterial small subunit ribosomal RNA
Source: RNAcentral
AGGUGGUGCAUGGUUGUCGUCAGCUCGUGUCGUGAGAUGUUGGGUUAAGUCCCGCAACGAGCGCAACCCUUACCUUCAGUAGCCAGCAGGUAAAGCCGGGCACUCUGGAGAGACUGCCGGGGAUAACCCGGAGGAAGGUGGGGAUGACGUCAAAUCAUCAUGCCCCUUAUGAUUUGGGCUACACACGUGCUACAAUGGCGUAAACAGAGGGAAGCGAGCCCGCGAGGGGGAGCAAAUCCCAAAAAUAACGUCCCAGUUCGGAUUGUAGUCUGCAACCCGACUACAUGAAGCUGGAAUCGCUAGUAAUCGCGGAUCAGAAUGCCGCGGUGAAUACGUUCCCGGGUCUUGUACACACCGCCCGUCACACCAUGGGAGUCGGAAAUGCCCGAAGUCUGUGACCUAACCGCAAGGGAGGAGCAGCCGAAGGCAGGUCGGAUGACUGGGGUGAAGUCGUAACAAGGUAGCCGUAUCGGAAGGUGCGGCUGGAUCACCUC